UAUUGAAUGCAUUCAUAGAGAACAUGUGUUCGAGGUGAUCGCUCUUAACUGCAUAAAGUGAAAUUUAAGGAAUACAUUUUCAAGAAAGAGAGAUUGUAUCGAACAAUCACAAAAGUUAUAAACAACAGUCUCAUCCACGGCAAGACAGUCAUCUGAAGCAGGGAACAGGAGCUCCAAAGGAAUAACUUGUUACAAAGUUACAUGGCAGGUCAGCACUUCCUCAGGGUUCCGUUUCUUUUUACAUUGUUAUUUUUUUAAAUUAUAUUUAUUUACUUUUGGC
Delphinapterus leucas (beluga whale) is the source of this 280-nucleotide non-coding RNA. NCBI's taxonomy places the organism in Eukaryota, Metazoa, Chordata, Mammalia, Artiodactyla, Monodontidae. The record is from RefSeq and is a predicted model, not a curated record.